CCUACGGGAGGCAGCAGUGGGGAAUAUUGCACAAUGGGGGAAACCCUGAUGCAGCGACGCCGCGUGAGUGAAGAAGUAUUUCGGUAUGUAAAGCUCUAUCAGCAGGGGAGAAAAUGACGGUACCUGAUUCAGAAGCCCCGGCUAACUACGUGCCAGCAGCCGCGGUAAUACGUAGGGGGCAAGCGUUAUCCGGAUUUACUGGGUGUAAAGGGAGCGUAGACGGCAGCACAAGUCUGGAGUGAAAUGCCGGGGCUUAACCCCGGAAGUGCUUUGGAAACUGUGCAGCUAGAGUGCAGGAGAGGUAAGUGGAAUUCCUAGUGUAGCGGUGAAAUGCGUAGAUAUUAGGAGGAACACCAGUGGCGAAGGCGGCUUACUGGACUGUAACUGACGUUGAGGCUCGAAAGCGUGGGGAGCAAACAGGAUUAGAUACCCGAGUAGUC
Molecule: ribosomal RNA, 440 nt
Filed under: uncultured bacterium
Lineage: Bacteria
Description: partial 16S ribosomal RNA
Rfam family: Bacterial small subunit ribosomal RNA
Source: RNAcentral